GACGAACGCUGGCGGUGUGCUUAACACAUGCAAGUCGAACGGUAAGGCCCUUUCGGGGGUUCACGAGUGGCGAACGGGUGAGUAACACGUCAGUAAGCUGCCCUCAUCUCUGGGAUAACCGUCGGAAACGGUUGUAAAUCCUGGUUUUGAGCUUGCAUGGCAUCUUGUGGGUUGGAAAGAUUUUUUUUGGUCGGGGAUGGACUGGCGGCCUAUCAGCUUGUUGGUGUGGUAGUGGCUCACCAAGGCUUCGACGGGUAGCCGGCCUGAGAGGGCGACCGGCCACAUUGGGACUGAGAUACGGCCCAAACGCGUACGGGAGGCAGCAGUGGGGAAUAUUGCACAAUGGACGGAAGUCUGAUGCAGCAACGCCGCGUGCGGGAUGACGGCCUUCGGGUUGUAAACCGCUUUCAAUUGUGACGAAGCUUUUUUGUGACGGUAGCAGUAGAAGAAGCACCGGCGAACUACGU
Molecule: ribosomal RNA, 467 nt
Filed under: uncultured bacterium
Lineage: Bacteria
Description: partial 16S ribosomal RNA
Rfam family: Bacterial small subunit ribosomal RNA
Source: RNAcentral